CCUACGGGAGGCAGCAGUAGGGAAUCUUCCACAAUGGGCGAAAGCCUGAUGGAGCAACGCCGCGUGGGUGAAGAAGGUCUUCGGAUCGUAAAACCCUGUUGUUAGAGAAGAAAGUGCGUGAGAGUAACUGUUCACGUUUCGACGGUAUCUAACCAGAAAGCCCCGGCUAACUACGUGCCAGCAGCCGCGGUAAUACGUAGGUGGCAAGCGUUAUCCGGAUUUAUUGGGCGUAAAGGGAACGCAGGCGGUCUUUUAAGUCUGAUGUGAAAGCCUUCGGCUUAACCGGAGUAGUGCAUUGGAAACUGGGAGACUGGAGUGCAGAAGAGGAGAGUGGAACUCCAUGUGUAGCGGUGAAAUGCGUAGAUAUAUGGAAGAACACCAGUGGCGAAAGCGGCUCUCUGGUCUGUAACUGACGCUGAGGUUCGAAAGCGUGGGUAGCAAACAGGAUUAGAUACCCUAGUAGUC
This 465-nucleotide ribosomal RNA is filed under the name uncultured bacterium. RNAcentral's name for it is "partial 16S ribosomal RNA". It matches the Rfam family "Bacterial small subunit ribosomal RNA", at positions 338 to 795 of the family's 1533-position model. The record is from RNAcentral.